Molecule: non-coding RNA, 869 nt
Organism: Pelobates cultripes (western spadefoot toad)
Lineage: Eukaryota; Metazoa; Chordata; Amphibia; Anura; Pelobatidae
Source: the annotation of a GenBank genome assembly
CCAGGACCUUGCGUCCUAUAUCUUUUAACCAUUUCCCUAUUCCAAAGGUCCAGUCAGAACCAGUCAUAUCCUCACACAGUUCCUCAAAACAUGGGAAUCCAUCCUUGGCACGCAACAUAUAUCAAAGACACACAUAGUACAUCCAUUCCUGGGUCUGCUAACACUUCCUCUCUCUCCGGCUAACUCUAUAAAAAUAGUUCAAUAGUUCAGCAUUGUUCAGAAAAAUAGAAUAAGUCUUUCACAGAGUAUAAAGAAGUCAGUUUAGACACCAUACAUUUUGUUCCAUAAAAUGGCUAAGGGUAGCAAUAUGGCUGACAACAAGACAAUGUCAGCUUCCACAUAGUUCUUCUUUUGUUUGCUGGAUUUUCACCUCAAAGCUCUGUGCAACACCCCAAUGGUUGAAAGGGUUAUUACAGAACCAGCGGUAUUAGACAGCACUGCACCUUCAGGACUUUCCAGGUUCUUGCGUGCAAAGUUUAUGUCCUCAUAAAUAAGUAUCAGUUUCUUCGGCCUGCAUGGAUAAUGACCAAACAGAUGUAAUUGCAAAAUACUUAUUGCAUGGUCAGCCAGAGAGAUUGGUGUGUAGUCCCAGAAAUCAGGCGGCACAAAAACUCCAGGACGGUCUCUACAAUCAUACAAACACAAGGAUCAAUACAACAUCAUUAAUUACCUAGGCUAAAACUUAAAUUAGAGAUUAAGGUUAAACCCUUAACUCGUUUAGCAUGUACCUCUCAUAUAUUUGCUUAUAUUUUAUGCAAUCUGUCUUCUAUGACAUUUUACAUAAUACCCCUUUGGAAUGCCUUUGUACGGAUGAGAGAAGCACUCACUCUAUAGAAAUGCUUGUUAGGAUGAAUAUUAAAACACUAACA